AGCAAAUUCAGCAGACGCCAUGUUGUAAGUUAUACUGCAGCUUUCCUCCUUUCAGUCCUCUCGCUGCUGUUGUUGCUUGCAGGUCUUCCUGUUGCUGUUGUUGCUUGCAGGUCUUCCUGUUGCUGUUGUUGCUUACAGGUCUUCCUGUUGCUGUUGUUGCUUGCAGGUCUUCCUGUUGCUGUUGUUGCUUGCAGGUCUUCCUGUUGCUGCUGUUGCUUGCAGGGCUUCCUGUUGCUGCUGUUGCUUGCAGGUCUUCCUGUUGCUGCUGUUGCUUGCAGGUCUUCCUGUUGCUGCUGUUGCUUGCAGGUCUUCCUGUUGCUGUUGUUGCUUGCAGGUCUUCCUGUUGCUGUUGUUGCUUGCAGGUCUUC
Molecule: non-coding RNA, 368 nt
Organism: Cherax quadricarinatus
Lineage: Eukaryota; Metazoa; Arthropoda; Malacostraca; Decapoda; Parastacidae
Source: RefSeq, a predicted model, not a curated record